This 1473-nucleotide ribosomal RNA is filed under the name Triticum aestivum (bread wheat). RNAcentral's name for it is "partial small subunit ribosomal RNA". Lineage: Eukaryota; Viridiplantae; Streptophyta; Magnoliopsida; Poales; Poaceae. The record is from RNAcentral.
AUGGAUCCCAGCCAGAUGAUGCCCCGUAGCUUCCCCAUGUGGCCGCCGCCGCCCCCGCCCGCCGCCUCCGACGCCAUGCCUCCCCCGCCGCUGCCGCUGCCCCAGCCCUUCCUCGCCCCGCCCCAGCCCAACCGCGGCUGGAAGCGCAAGAACAACCCCAACAACAACCCCAACCUCGCCGGCGGCGGCGCCUACCAGCCCCCCGCCAUCGGCGACCUGCAGGUGCAGAACCGCGCCAAGGCCCGCCGCUGGUUCAACAACCCCAACAACGCCGGCGGCGGCGGCAACCCCAACAACGCCGGCGGCCGCAAGUACUUCUUCCCCAAGUCCAACAAGGGGGGCAACAAGGCCAAGGCGCCGCGCAACACCACCUCCUUCAUCAUCCGGGCCAAGCGGGCGGGGGGCAUCGCCUCGCUCGUCUCCCCCUGCCCCGUCACCCCCGCCGUGCUCCCCACCCCGCGCAUCUCCCCCUCCCGCGAGGGCCUCUCCGACAUGGCCCAGCAGCAGUGGGGCGUGGACGGAUACGGCUCCAUGAAGGGCCUCAUCCGCCUCCGAGCCUCCUCCCCACGCCACCCCGACGCCGAAGGGGAUGACGACGACUCCAGCAGCGGCAGCGACGUCGAGGAGCACGUCGAGGUCGAGCGCCGCCUCGACCACGACCUCAGCCGCUUCGAGAUGGUCUACCCCGGCGGGAUGGCCAACGGAGCCGCCGGCUACGUCUUGGAGGACCUCGACGAUGAGUACGACCAGGACGUGCACGUCGCCAGGCUCGAGGAGGAGAACCUGACUCUCAAGGAGAGGCUCUUUCUCAUGGAGCAGGAGGUCGGUGACAUGAGGCGCCGUCUCGAGGCCAUCGAGGCGCGCUUUGCAGGGGCCGACGGGGUUGCUGCUGCUGGCAGCGCCGACAAUGCUGCUCUUGUCCUCCAGCAGAGGGCUGAUGCUGAUGCUGAGAAUGGCGUUGAUGCCGCGCCUGUUGCAGGCGAUGCUGUAAUUGUUUCUCUGGAAGAUGCUAAUGCUAAUGCUUCUGGUGCUGAAAAUGCUAAUCUACUUGAGAAAGCGAAGGGUGAUGCUGCCUCUGCUUCUGAUGACACUGUUGAGGAUGCUCUGAAGAUUGACACUGAGAUGGAUGUUGCUGCCUCUGCUUCUGCUAACGCAGUUGAAUUUGCUCUGAAGAAUGACACUGAGAUGGGUGUUGCUGCCUCUGCUUCUGCCAACGCAGUUGAGUUUGCUCUGAAGAAUGAUACUGAGAUGGGUGAUGCUGGCAACUUGGUUGAGGAGGCUCUGGAGAAUGUCACGGCGAUGGCUGAUGCCGUUUCUGGUGCUGAUAAUGCAGUCAAGGAGUCUGACAUGAACAGGGGUGAUGUAGAGCAGGAGAAAAGUGGUGAGGACAUGGCCGGUGCAGGUUCAGAGAAGAAUGCAGAGAUGGCUGAUACUACUGGAAGUGGAGAGGAAGAGGGCAAGGAGCAGGCCUGA